GCCAGCAGCCAUAUCACCCUGCAACUCACAACUGGCAGCCCACUAAAGCUCAGCAGGUGUGAGCCUGGUCAGUACCUGGAUGGGGGACCUCCUGGGAAAAACUAAGGUUGCUGCUGGAA
RNAcentral lists this ribosomal RNA (119 nucleotides) under Lepisosteus oculatus (spotted gar). The record is from RNAcentral. Lineage: Eukaryota; Metazoa; Chordata; Actinopteri; Semionotiformes; Lepisosteidae.